UAGAAAGUGGUGUAGUGGAAGCACUAGGAGUCUUGAUCUCCUGAGGAUGGGUUCGAGCCCCCUUUUUCUAA
Molecule: transfer RNA, 71 nt
Filed under: Gadus morhua (Atlantic cod)
Lineage: Eukaryota; Metazoa; Chordata; Actinopteri; Gadiformes; Gadidae
Description: transfer RNA-Gln
Rfam family: tRNA
About the family: Transfer RNA (tRNA) molecules are approximately 80 nucleotides in length. Their secondary structure includes four short double-helical elements and three loops (D, anti-codon, and T loops).
Source: RNAcentral